UUUCAGAUCUCCCAAGUAGCACCUCUGGCUACUUGGUUCCCAACUCUGCACUCCCGUUUAGGUGCCUUCUUUGAUUUCAAUCCUAAGGGAGGCGCACAUCCUCAUGCUCUAACUAACUCUCCAGGCCCAUACAGAAAACCAAGCUGGUUCUAUGUUUGCCCAGGGCCCGGAAUGCCAAAAUACAAGUCCCAGAGAAGCAGGUGUGGAGAGGACAGCACUACUUAUUGCGCUCAAUGGGGCUGUGAGACAACGGAACACAUAUGGUGGACCCCUCAGGGAGAAGAUCUUAUUAAGGCUGAAAGUAACAGAAUGGUUACAGCUGUAUUGUGUGAAGAACUCUGCAGAAGCUGGAGUGGCUACAGGAACAGAAAACAGGGAAACACUUCCCAAUUCAUUCUGUUAAUCCACCACCUUGACACCAGAUCGAGUCAAAGACAUCACACAACAACAACAACAAAAUCAAGGUCUUUUGUGAAUACAGACUCAGGAUUCAGCUGGUCUGCAUUUCCCUUUGGAGGUUCUAAGGAGAAUUCACUUUCAACUUUAGACCAGCACAUUCCCUCCAUUCCUGCUGACUCAGGGGUGAUAUGGCAGGGAAGACCUCAUUAGAUGCCAAGACAUGGAUAUUGGAACAUCUCACCUUACCAAACUGGAAGAAAUAAAUUUCUUUUCUUGAAAAGGACAAAAUGCAACAACCAACCAAUCAAUCAAACAAACAGAAAAGAAAAUAGGGGCCUGUGAGAUGGGUCAGUAGGUAACCGUACUUUCCAUGCAAGUCUAAUGACCUGAGUUCAAUCCCCAGAACCCAAGUACAGGUGGAGAGAACUGACUCUGCAAAGCUGUAC
Molecule: long non-coding RNA, 845 nt
Organism: Nannospalax galili (Upper Galilee mountains blind mole rat)
Lineage: Eukaryota; Metazoa; Chordata; Mammalia; Rodentia; Spalacidae
Exons: 3
Source: RefSeq, a predicted model, not a curated record